UGUGAACCUGCGGUGUAGGGGAGCUCUUUUCCCUCGGGGUGAAGGGAACUUUCAUUGCCCCUUUAAACUCUGCCCCAGGCACCAGGCAGCCCAGGCACUGGCUGUGGGUGGCCUGGGGUUUUGGUAGGAAAGCAGAUCCUCCCCUUCCAACUUUGCUUAAUGUUUCCUGGGACUAUUACAUAAGCUGUAGAGGGAAGUCUGCAUUUUUAGGGAAAAAUACAAGAAAAGCUGGUAUUUAAGAAAAGUGAACAUUUUUCUUUACUCCCUGGUGAUUCUUGUUUUGUAUUUUAAGCAGUGUGUGCAUAGUGGGCUGUCAUUUUUCCAGGAGAGAGAAGUGAAGAACCAGGGGAAUCUCACGCUUCUGCCUCGUGUGUCCAGAUGAGCAUCAAAGUGAAAAACGUGAAAUCCAUGGAGAAUCUGCGUUCCCGGAGCCUUACUGUCCAUGUAGACCCACUCAUUCUCCCAAGCGGACGGAGUCCAGCCUUGCAGGCAAAGAAGUUAACCCAGGAAGAAAAGGUUCCAGGGAGUCUGCAGUGGAAUGACGAUGCUUUUGUUCUGCGUUUGGGGGUCUCUUGUGGCCUCGUGAUGUUGAAAAGGGAGGAGAGCUGCUGAAGCUGUGCGUCAUGGGCAGGCCUGGCUUAGGAAUCUGGAAAGCGCUGGUCAUUUUCAUCUGAUUGAAGCUAGCUCCAUGCAGACCUCACCAGGGAUACUCUGAAAGUGACCCUUCCCCAGUGGGCCCCAUGCCGGCCCUGGGCCUGGGAGAAGCCGCUCGUGCCUCCUCUCUGUCUGCGUAUUUGUGCUGCUGCAACGAAACACCUGACACUGGGUCGUUUGUAAAGAACAGAAAUUUAUUCCUCACAGUUCUGGGACUGGGAAGCCAAGAUCCAGGCACGGGCAGAUUUGGUGUUGGUGAGGGUUUGGUCUCUGCUUCAAGAUGGCACCUCUUGCUGAACCCCCCCG
This 960-nucleotide long non-coding RNA is filed under the name Aotus nancymaae (Ma's night monkey). RNAcentral's name for it is "lncRNA (ENSANAG00000038927.1)". The record is from RNAcentral. Lineage: Eukaryota; Metazoa; Chordata; Mammalia; Primates; Aotidae.